GACGAACGCUGGCGGCGUGCCUAAUACAUGCAAGUAGAACGCUGAAGGAGGAGCUUGCUUCUCCGGAUGAGUUGCGAACGGGUGAGUAACGCGUAGGUAACCUGCCUGGUAGCGGGGGAUAACUAUUGGAAACGAUAGCUAAUACCGCAUAAGAGUAGAUGUUGCAUGACAUUUGCUUAAAAGGUGCAAUUGCAUCACUACCAGAUGGACCUGCGUUGUAUUAGCUAGUUGGUGGGGUAACGGCUCACCAAGGCGACGAUACAUAGCCGACCUGAGAGGGUGAUCGGCCACACUGGGACUGAGACACGGCCCAGACUCCUACGGGAGGCAGCAGUAGGGAAUC
This 343-nucleotide ribosomal RNA is filed under the name Streptococcus mitis. RNAcentral describes it as "bacterial SSU rRNA". It matches the Rfam family "Bacterial small subunit ribosomal RNA", at positions 28 to 363 of the family's 1533-position model. Lineage: Bacteria; Bacillati; Bacillota; Bacilli; Lactobacillales; Streptococcaceae. The record is from RNAcentral.